GUGCUUGUUUCAGCAACACAUACUAAAAUUGGAACAAUACAGGGAAGAUUAGCAUGGCCCCAGCACAAGGAUGACAUGCAAAUCUGAGAAACGUUCCAUAUUUUU
Artibeus jamaicensis (Jamaican fruit-eating bat) is the source of this 105-nucleotide small nuclear RNA. NCBI's taxonomy places the organism in Eukaryota, Metazoa, Chordata, Mammalia, Chiroptera, Phyllostomidae. The record is from RefSeq and is a predicted model, not a curated record.